AAGAGAGAAGAAAAAGAAAAUGGCUAUGACGUAGGAGACGCGCGGCAGGCGGCGGGGGCACAGGGUGAACUGGAUCCGCUAGAAUUGGGGGUGAUUAGGGAAGGAUCGGUCCCCCACAUAUAUGCGGGGCGAUGGAGGUGUUUUUGGUGUCCGCGUAUUUUUACAGGAAGUAUGGGGGAGCUGUUGGAGGUAAGUUUUUUCCCCCUAAAUAAGGUUUUGAGGCAUUUUUAAGGGAGCUUUUGGAGUUGCUCGAAGUGUUUGAAUCAAAUAGAGAUAUUGCAGAUAGGUCCUUCUUUGAUGGACCUAUCGGAAUAUUAAGGGAGCGAUAGUUCACUGACAUGCAUAUGUGGCAAAAAGUGUAAACAAAUUUGUAGGUUUUAGUUUUUUUCGAAC
This 393-nucleotide long non-coding RNA is filed under the name Setaria viridis. Its description in RNAcentral is "long non-coding RNA (SVIR_LNC002096)". Lineage: Eukaryota; Viridiplantae; Streptophyta; Magnoliopsida; Poales; Poaceae. The record is from RNAcentral.